UUCCCUUCGGGGACAUUGGUGACAGGUGGUGCAUGGUUGUCGUCAGCUCGUGUCGUGAGAUGUUGGGUUAAGUCCCGCAACGAGCGCAACCCUUGUCUUUAGUUGCCAUCAUUCAGUUGGGCACUCUAGAGAGACUGCCAGGGAUAACCUGGAGGAAGGUGGGGAUGACGUCAAAUCAUCAUGCCCCUUAUGCUUAGGGCUACACACGUGCUACAAUGGGUAGUACAGAGGGUUGCCAAGCCGUAAGGUGGAGCUAAUCCCUUAAAGCUACUCUCAGUUCGGAUUGUAGGCUGAAACUCGCCUACAUGAAGCUGGAGUUACUAGUAAUCGCAGAUCAGAAUGCUGCGGUGAAUGCGUUCCCGGGUCUUGUACACACCGCCCGUCACACCACGGGAGUUGGAGACGCCCGAAGCCGA
This 416-nucleotide ribosomal RNA is filed under the name Clostridioides difficile. Its description in RNAcentral is "bacterial SSU rRNA". It matches the Rfam family "Bacterial small subunit ribosomal RNA", at positions 1014 to 1430 of the family's 1533-position model. The record is from RNAcentral. Lineage: Bacteria; Bacillati; Bacillota; Clostridia; Peptostreptococcales; Peptostreptococcaceae.